UCCAAAGAAUCAAUCAACUUUUGCUCGCAUAAGUGGUUAUUGUGAACAGAAUGACAUUCAUUCUCCACACAUUACUGUUUAUGAGUCGCUGCUAUACUCAGCAUGGUUGCGUCUCUCUCCAGAUGUAAAAGAAUAUACACGGAAGGUGGGCUCUCAUUACUGUUUAUGAGUCGCUGCUAUACUCGGCAUGGUUGCGUCUCUCUCCAGAUGUAAAAGAAUAUACACGGAAGGUGGGCUCUCUUGUCUUACUUUGUGCUUCUGAAUAUCCUCUUGAAGAUUGUAGUCUCCAUGAAAGAACUCAACUUUAUUUUUCUGUUACAAACCCUGAUAGUUUUCGUAGAAAAGGAGGUCAACAAAUGACUUCAAUUUUGGUCUUGUUUUAGAAUU
RNAcentral lists this long non-coding RNA (387 nucleotides) under Nicotiana benthamiana. Its description in RNAcentral is "long non-coding RNA (NBEN_LNC015346)". The record is from RNAcentral. Lineage: Eukaryota; Viridiplantae; Streptophyta; Magnoliopsida; Solanales; Solanaceae.